This is a non-coding RNA of Parcubacteria group bacterium, 71 nucleotides long. The record is from Rfam.
GAGACAUUGGUGUAGCAGCAGCACAACGCUCUGUGGCAGCGUUAGCAGGGGUGCAACUCCCCUAUGUCUCC